Molecule: ribosomal RNA, 200 nt
Filed under: uncultured Glomus
Lineage: Eukaryota; Fungi; Glomeromycota; Glomeromycetes; Glomerales; Glomeraceae
Also listed under: 1 other name
Description: partial small subunit ribosomal RNA
Rfam family: Eukaryotic small subunit ribosomal RNA
Source: RNAcentral
CCAAUAGCGUAUAUUAAAGUUGUUGCAGUUAAAAAGCUCGUAGUUGAACUUCAGGCCUGUCCAGAUGGUCCGCCUUAAUUGGUGUGUACUGUCCUUGGGUGGGUCCUACCUUCUGGCGAAGCGGCAUGGCCUUAGUUGGUUGUGUCGGGGAACCAGGACUUUUACUGUGAAAAAAUUAGAGUGUUCAAAGCAGGCAUAUA